CCUACGGGGGGUAGCAGUGGGGAAUAUUGGACAAUGGGGGGAACCCUGAUCCAGCCAUGCCGCGUGUGUGAAGAAGGCCCUCGGGUUGUAAAGCACUUUCAGUGAGGAAGAACGCCUGGUGGUUAAUACCCAUCAGGAAAGACAUCACUCACAGAAGAAGCACCGGCUAACUCCGUGCCAGCAGCCGCGGUAAUACGGAGGGUGCGAGCGUUAAUCGGAAUUACUGGGCGUAAAGCGCGCGUAGGUGGCUUGAUAAGCCGGUUGUGAAAGCCCCGGGCUCAACCUGGGAACGGCAUCCGGAACUGUCAAGCUAGAGUGCAGGAGAGGAAGGUAGAAUUCCCGGUGUAGCGGUGAAAUGCGUAGAGAUCGGGAGGAAUACCAGUGGCGAAGGCGGCCUUCUGGACUGACACUGACACUGAGGUGCGAAAGCGUGGGUAGCAAACAGGAUUAGAUACCCGGGUAGUC
RNAcentral lists this ribosomal RNA (465 nucleotides) under Vreelandella stevensii. Its description in RNAcentral is "partial 16S ribosomal RNA". It matches the Rfam family "Bacterial small subunit ribosomal RNA", at positions 338 to 795 of the family's 1533-position model. The record is from RNAcentral. Lineage: Bacteria; Pseudomonadati; Pseudomonadota; Gammaproteobacteria; Oceanospirillales; Halomonadaceae.